Molecule: long non-coding RNA, 339 nt
Filed under: Amborella trichopoda
Lineage: Eukaryota; Viridiplantae; Streptophyta; Magnoliopsida; Amborellales; Amborellaceae
Description: long non-coding RNA (ATRI_LNC003242)
Source: RNAcentral
UUAGAUUCUCUGUCCAGUAGUAGCAUUCUCACUCUUCCUCUCUCUAUAAUGAUUCUUUAGUAGUCCUACUUGCCUCUCUUAAGGGGACAUAUAUAAGGCGCACACUGACUUACGACUUGUAAUACAGUUGUUGUCAUAAAUGGGAACUGUUAGUCCUACGGAUCGGAAAUAAUUCAUGAAAACUACAGCCAAAGGAUUCUUCUCGAGAAUGGAGAAAAUUCUCAAAAACUAAUGCCUUUGCUAUUAAUUAUUUUUUUGUUUUUUUUUGCCAGAUUUUUUUUUUGAAGAUAAUUUUUCUGCCUUGUUUGGAUUAAGAAGCCUGGGGCCAUGUUUGUAGCG